UACGUAGGGGGCAAGCGUUGUCCGGAAUCAUUGGGCGUAAAGCGCGUGUAGGCGGCUCAGUAAGUCCGCUCUGAAAGCCCGGGGCUUAACCCCGGGAGGCGGGUGGAUACUGCUGAGCUCGAGUCCGGAAGAGGCGAGUGGAAUUCCUGGUGUAGCGGUGAAAUGCGCAGAUAUCAGGAGGAACACCGAUGGCGAAGGCAGGUCUCUGGGCAUUAACUGACGCUGGAGGAGCGGAAAGCAUGGGGAGCGAACAGG
RNAcentral lists this ribosomal RNA (255 nucleotides) under uncultured bacterium. Its description in RNAcentral is "partial 16S ribosomal RNA". It matches the Rfam family "Bacterial small subunit ribosomal RNA", at positions 524 to 776 of the family's 1533-position model. The record is from RNAcentral.